UACGUAGGGGGCAAGCGUUGUCCGGAUUCAUUGGGCGUAAAGAGCGUGUAGGCGGCCAGGGAGGUCGGGUGUGAAAACUCCAGGCUCAACCUGGAGACGCCACCCGAUACUGCCAUGGCUAGAGUCCGGUAGGGGACCACGGAAUUCCUGGUGUAGCGGUGAAAUGCGCAGAUAUCAGGAGGAACACCGGUGGCGAAGGCGGUGGUCUGGGCCGGAACUGACGCUGAGGAGCGAAAGCGUGGGGAGCGAACAGG
This 254-nucleotide ribosomal RNA is filed under the name uncultured bacterium. Its description in RNAcentral is "partial 16S ribosomal RNA". It matches the Rfam family "Bacterial small subunit ribosomal RNA", at positions 524 to 776 of the family's 1533-position model. The record is from RNAcentral.